AGUGAACGCUGGCGGCAGGCCUAACACAUGCAAGUCGAACGGCAGCACAGUAAGAGCUUGCUCUUACGGGUGGCGAGUGGCGGACGGGUGAGGAAUACAUCGGAAUCUACUUUUUCGUGGGGGAUAACGUAGGGAAACUUACGCUAAUACCGCAUGCGACCUACGGGUGAAAGCAGGGGAUCUUCGGACCUUGCGCGAUUGAAUGAGCCGAUGUCGGAUUAGCUAGUUGGCGGGGUAAAGGCCCACCAAGGCGACGAUCCGUAGCUGGUCUGAGAGGAUGAUCAGCCACACUGGAACUGAGACACGGUCCAGACUCCUACGGGAGGCAGCAGUGGGGAAUAUUGGACAAUGGGCGCAAGCCUGAUCCAGCCAUACCGCGUGGGUGAAGAAGGCCUUCGGGUUGUAAAGCCCUUUUGUUGGGAAAGAAAAGCAGCAGGUUAAUACCCCGCUGUUCUGACGGUACCCAAAGAAUAAGCACCGGCUAACUUCGUG
This 492-nucleotide ribosomal RNA is filed under the name uncultured bacterium. RNAcentral's name for it is "partial 16S ribosomal RNA". It matches the Rfam family "Bacterial small subunit ribosomal RNA", at positions 29 to 507 of the family's 1533-position model. The record is from RNAcentral.